GGCCGGGUCCCAGACUAUCAGGACCUACGAACCUGGUCAGAUACGAAAGUAAGCAGCCAUAAGUGGAUGUCUUGUUGUGUAUGGUAAAACCCGGCCGCC
RNAcentral lists this signal recognition particle RNA (99 nucleotides) under Planctomycetes bacterium RBG_13_44_8b. RNAcentral describes it as "signal recognition particle sRNA small type". It matches the Rfam family "Bacterial small signal recognition particle RNA". Rfam says of the family: The signal recognition particle (SRP) is a universally conserved ribonucleoprotein involved in the co-translational targeting of proteins to membranes. The record is from RNAcentral. Lineage: Bacteria; Pseudomonadati; Planctomycetota.